RNAcentral lists this ribosomal RNA (466 nucleotides) under uncultured bacterium. RNAcentral's name for it is "partial 16S ribosomal RNA". It matches the Rfam family "Bacterial small subunit ribosomal RNA", at positions 28 to 507 of the family's 1533-position model. The record is from RNAcentral.
GAUGAACGCUGGCGGCGUGCUUAACACAUGCAAGUCGAACGGAAAGGCCCAAGCUUGCUUGGGUACUCGGGUGGCGAACGGGUGAGUAACACGUGGGUGAUCUGCCCUGCACUUCGGGAUAAGCCUGGGAAACUGGGUCUAAUACCGGAUAGGACCACAUUUUGGAUGGUGUGGUGGAAAGUUUUUCGGUGUGGGAUGAGCUCGCGGCCUAUCAGCUUGUUGGUGGGGUAAUGGCCUACCAAGGCGUCGACGGGUAGCCGGCCUGAGAGGGUGUACGGCCACAUUGGGACUGAGAUACGGCCCAGACUCCUACGGGAGGCAGCAGUGGGGAAUAUUGCACAAUGGGCGCAAGCCUGAUGCAGCGACGCCGCGUGGGGGAUGACGGCCUUCGGGUUGUAAACUCCUUUCGCUAGGGACGAAGCGUUAUGUGACGGUACCUGGAGAAGAAGCACCGGCUAACUACGUG